UACGGAGGGGGCUAGCGUUGUUCGGAAUUACUGGGCGUAAAGCGCACGUAGGCGGCGAUCUAAGUCAGAGGUGAAAGCCCGGGGCUCAACCCCGGAAUAGCCUUUGAGACUGGAUUGCUAGAAUCCGGGAGAGGUGAGUGGAAUUCCGAGUGUAGAGGUGAAAUUCGUAGAUAUUCGGAAGAACACCAGUGGCGAAGGCGGCUCACUGGACCGGCAUUGACGCUGAGGUGCGAAAGCGUGGGGAGCAAACAGG
Molecule: ribosomal RNA, 253 nt
Filed under: uncultured bacterium
Lineage: Bacteria
Description: partial 16S ribosomal RNA
Rfam family: Bacterial small subunit ribosomal RNA
Source: RNAcentral